ACACAUCUCUCAACACAUAUGGAAGGUGAUGGUCCACGUGUUGCUCAGCAAAUGGUGCUAGGGGGGAGUGUUUGGAUUGAUCACGUGGAGUGAUCCUAAUCAUCCGUGAGGGGCGUGGAUCCUAGAGUUGAAAGGUGGCAGAGGCUAGCUUUAAUGGCAAUGGCCACAUGUUGUAAAGCAUGCAGGAAGGGCGUGGGAUUCGAAAGAAUGCCUGAAACAGGGCAAUCUAAGUCGUUCCUGGAGAACCAAGUCCAACGGCUAGGAGAAAAGAUGCUUCCCAGUAUUAAUGGCGCGGGGGACAAGGGGUAACAUGUGUCUCCUAAGGUGCGGAGGAGACAGGCACGCGCACCUAGGAGGUCUGGCCACAAUUAUUGCUCCUGACACGAAGCAAUACUAGCCAUUGAUUUGCUACAGGGAUCCAACAGCAGGAGAUGGAGCAGCUUUGGAUAUCCAACGUGGCUUAAUAUCAACGCUCAAUAGAAACAAAGAGUGAAUGGCCAAGAUUCAACUAUGUGUGAUUUUGAUCGUGCGGAGAUGAAGUAUUCCACGUGUCAUGAUCCUAGGGUGCCAGAGCUUGACAUAUUUAAGCUCAAAAAAUUCAUUUUUCUCAUUUUUUCACUCUCUCUGUUUCUUUCUUUCCCUCUCGUCUCCUCUCUACGAAAACCCUAGUCCAAACCCCUCUCUGCAACUCACCAGUGCUCGCAACCUCCUUAGCCUUUUACCCCUCUUGUUCUCCUACCACCACAAACUCGAAAAUCAUGCUUUUUAGCUUUCUGCAACUCUCUCAACCUCUCUCUGUCCCUCUCAUGCAACUUUGAUUCGUCUUCUUCUUCAGACGAAACCCUAGAUUUCCCAACCUGCAACUCACUAGUACCUGCAACCUCCUCGGCCUCUUUCAGUUUCUCGCUUUUUUCUUCUCCUUCUUAAAAGACAACACCCUAGAUCUGCAACUCCACCUGACUAAUUUUUCUAUUACCCUCACGCUAGCCUCUCAAACUCUCUGUCUCAAGUAUUGACCUUCCUCAUAGAAGCUUAAUUUCGAGGUGGCCGCCGGUGCGCUCAGUUCCUGGCUAGAACAUCUGAAUGGUCUUUACCAAAGGGUAAGGUCAAGAGCAAAGUUCAAAGAGUGAUUCCAAGUCUUCGCGGAUGCCAAAAAAAAUUUAAGCAAGCUGGAAGGUCCAAGUGGCAGCUCUGGAGUGGAGUGCAAGGCAUCUUCCCUUUAUGUAUUUUUUUUGUUUUUAUUAUUUUUUUCUAUAAUGCACGUACCCUCGUGUUGCUCUUCCUGCAACCACUAUUUGUACAACUUGCGUAGUCUUAUUUUCCAUGUAUGUAUGUAUGGAUGUACCCCCAGGUUUUUUGUACUGUGACUGUUAUUUGUAUCCCCCCCCCCCCCCCCCAACUUUAUUUCCUCGUACUUUUCCUUGUUUUCAUUAACAUUCCCCUUGUAAUAUGUUCGUGCAUUUGUGGCUUCACGUGUACACACGUGCCUCUUUUUUAAUAAAAUCUGUGAUGAAUGCACUUUUUAA
This is a long non-coding RNA of Malania oleifera, 1526 nucleotides long. RefSeq lists it as uncharacterized. The transcript is spliced from 2 exons. The record is from RefSeq and is a predicted model, not a curated record. Lineage: Eukaryota; Viridiplantae; Streptophyta; Magnoliopsida; Santalales; Ximeniaceae.